This 718-nucleotide ribosomal RNA is filed under the name Janthinobacterium sp. A6AT3. RNAcentral describes it as "bacterial SSU rRNA". It matches the Rfam family "Bacterial small subunit ribosomal RNA", at positions 112 to 826 of the family's 1533-position model. The record is from RNAcentral. Lineage: Bacteria; Pseudomonadati; Pseudomonadota; Betaproteobacteria; Burkholderiales; Oxalobacteraceae.
AAUAUAUCGGAACGUACCCUAGAGUGGGGGAUAACGUAGCGAAAGUUACGCUAAUACCGCAUACGAUCUAAGGAUGAAAGUGGGGGAUCGCAAGACCUCAUGCUCGUGGAGCGGCCGAUAUCUGAUUAGCUAGUUGGUAGGGUAAAAGCCUACCAAGGCAUCGAUCAGUAGCUGGUCUGAGAGGACGACCAGCCACACUGGAACUGAGACACGGUCCAGACUCCUACGGGAGGCAGCAGUGGGGAAUUUUGGACAAUGGGCGAAAGCCUGAUCCAGCAAUGCCGCGUGAGUGAAGAAGGCCUUCGGGUUGUAAAGCUCUUUUGUCAGGGAAGAAACGGUGAGAGCUAAUAUCUUUUGCUAAUGACGGUACCUGAAGAAUAAGCACCGGCUAACUACGUGCCAGCAGCCGCGGUAAUACGUAGGGUGCAAGCGUUAAUCGGAAUUACUGGGCGUAAAGCGUGCGCAGGCGGUUUUGUAAGUCUGAUGUGAAAUCCCCGGGCUCAACCUGGGAAUUGCAUUGGAGACUGCAAGGCUAGAAUCUGGCAGAGGGGGGUAGAAUUCCACGUGUAGCAGUGAAAUGCGUAGAUAUGUGGAGGAACACCGAUGGCGAAGGCAGCCCCCUGGGUCAAGAUUGACGCUCAUGCACGAAAGCGUGGGGAGCAAACAGGAUUAGAUACCCUGGUAGUCCACGCCCUAAACGAUGUCUACUAGUUGUCGG